AUAUUAUUAAGCGGAGGAGAAGAAACUAACAAGGAUUCCCCUAGUAACGGCGAGUGAAGCGGCAACAGCUCAAAUUUGAAAUCUGACGUCUCGACGUCCGAGUUGUAAUUUGCAGAGGGAGCCUCGGGUUGAGGGUCGGUCCAAGUCUCUUGGAACAGAAUACCGCAGAGGGUGAGAGUCCCGUCUCCGGCCGACGCCGACGCCGUGUGAGGCCCCUUCGACGAGUCGAGUUGUUUGGGAAUGCAGCUCUAAAUGGGUGGUAAAUUCCAUCUAAGGCUAAAUACCGGCCAGAGACCGAUAGCGCACAAGUA
This 311-nucleotide ribosomal RNA is filed under the name uncultured eukaryote. Its description in RNAcentral is "partial large subunit ribosomal RNA". It matches the Rfam family "Eukaryotic large subunit ribosomal RNA", at positions 40 to 350 of the family's 3401-position model. The record is from RNAcentral.